GCGGAAAGUCCCAGAAAUGACGUUUUAACCAGGUAAUUAAAAGCGAUUUAAUUACACAGUGGAUCUCUGCACUGGGAACCCUUGAGGAUCUACGUGCUGUAAACAACUCGGUAGACUGACUGCAGCUUUUCAUUGACUCAGACCAUCUUGAUCUGCUUAGUGACGGGAAAAAAGAAACGCUGCUGCCGUCGACGGUAUGCGUGCGCACGCGCACGACGUUUAGCUGCGGCACCGCUCCCACCGGAAAGCGCGUUCACGUGAAACUCUAGAAAGAACAAUCAAGGAAGAAAAAAAAAAAAAGACCGACUAGUACAAUCCUGAUCUUGAAAGGAAUAAAUCAAGUAUUCAAAGGCAACAUACCGUGGCAAGACAAAGAGCAAGACCAGAACCACACCUGGAAAGGACUCAUGCAUGUCCUCACUCAUUUACCAUGCAGGAUAAGCGAGAAGGUUUAAGGGAUGCCAGAAUCUGAUAGCAGCAAUAGGCACAAAACAGUUACCAUCUGUCAGUCACUAUGGCUCAUACUGGGGCCAGGCUAGUGUUCCCAGUAUGUUACUAGAACAUAAAAGAAUACUGAUGUGAAUAUGAAGAACACUUGCAAGUUCUAUUCAGGGGAUGCUGCAACCAUGACUCAGACUUGGAAUCAAGAGCUGUGAGGCUACAAGACUAUGUGCUCUAUCAUCGUGCCUCACACUUCAAAAGGUGUAAUUAAUUUAAUUACAAAAAUAUCACAAGGACACAAUAACAACUUUUUAUUCUACUUACGUGCCUCAGGAAUGACAGGUCGAGCAACAAAGUAAAGUUGAGACACCAACUGGGUCGUCUCAUUUAAUACGAAUGUCCAAAGCAAAAAUCAUGCCUUUAGGUGACAAGAAAAUGGCUACUCUGGCACAGUAAGUCCUCUCAGGCUGUCAUUCUGUGGAGCUCCAUCCAGUACGUCACUCUGAGUGGAACGUUACGUCUCCUUCUGGGCAGCUGAGUUUCUUAUUAUGGUUUAUUUCUCAGUGCUGUGGGGAGAGAAGGAGACAGCGCCCCCUCUUGCCUUGGUGGGUUAUUACAUACCACGAUUGAGCCCAUGAGGAGAUCCUCUGAUUCGCAUAUGUGACAAUACUGUAUAUACUCGCGUUUAAGUUCUCCUGCAGAUAAGUUGGGGCUUGGUUUUACUUUAUA
Molecule: long non-coding RNA, 1170 nt
Organism: Polypterus senegalus (gray bichir)
Lineage: Eukaryota; Metazoa; Chordata; Cladistia; Polypteriformes; Polypteridae
Exons: 3
Source: RefSeq, a predicted model, not a curated record